Molecule: ribosomal RNA, 120 nt
Filed under: Shewanella baltica
Lineage: Bacteria; Pseudomonadati; Pseudomonadota; Gammaproteobacteria; Alteromonadales; Shewanellaceae
Source: RNAcentral
UGCUUGGUGACAAUAGCCUUGUGGAACCACCUGAUCCCAUCCCGAACUCAGAAGUGAAACGCAAACGCGCCGAUGGUAGUGUGGGGUCUCCCCAUGUGAGAGUAGGUCAUCGCCAAGCGC